CGGAGGGCGGGGACGGGCCACAUUGGGACUGGCAGACAGCGGCCCAAACUCCUACGGGAGGCAGCAGUGGGGAAUAUUGCACAAUGGGGGAAACCCUGAUGCAGCUGACGCCGCGUGAGCGAUGAAGUAUUUCGGUAUGUAAAGCUCUAUCAGCAGGGAAGAAAAUGACGGUACCUGACUAAGAAGCCCCGGCUAACUAC
Molecule: ribosomal RNA, 200 nt
Filed under: uncultured Ruminococcus sp.
Lineage: Bacteria; Bacillati; Bacillota; Clostridia; Eubacteriales; Oscillospiraceae
Description: partial 16S ribosomal RNA
Rfam family: Bacterial small subunit ribosomal RNA
Source: RNAcentral